Doryrhamphus excisus (bluestripe pipefish) is the source of this 409-nucleotide non-coding RNA. NCBI's taxonomy places the organism in Eukaryota, Metazoa, Chordata, Actinopteri, Syngnathiformes, Syngnathidae. The record is from RefSeq and is a predicted model, not a curated record.
AGAACAGGUCGAACUUGGUAGAACUGCUAACAUUAGCCGCUAACAGCAAGAUGGCUAACGUUAGCUACACAUGCUAGCCACCAACAUGGCUAUCUCCUACUGAAAAAGAGAAUGCCAGAAACAUUUGGUGAUGUUUGGGCCUGAGUAGCACCCUGCAGUGUCCAUAUGGCUUCACCGUCACACUAUGAAGGCAAAAGGGGUUGGAUAUGUGAAACGUGAACACAGGGGUGUCCAAAGUACGGUCCGGAGGCCAUUUGCAACAUGUGCUUUUUUUUUUGGCCUGAAGCGCCUACUCUACACAGAGAUGUCCAAUGGAGAUUCACACCCAAAUCUUCCAUAUCUCCUGACUGUGGACAACAUGCUAACCACCAGGUCGCCGUGCCAAAAAACUGCAGUAAUUUAAAAAAGA